AAAGGAAUAGACGGGGGCCCGCACAAGCGGUGGAGCAUGUGGUUUAAUUCGAUGCAACGCGAAGAACCUUACCGGGGCUUGACAUCCUACGAAUCACUUGGAAACAAGGGAGUGCCUUUGGGAAACCAGAGGAGCGUAGAGACAGGUGGUGCAUGGUUGUCGUCAGCUCGUGUCGUGAGAUGUUGGGUUAAGUCCCGCAACGAGCGCAACCCUUGCUGUUAGUUGCUAACGGGUAGAGCCGAGCACUCUAGCAGGACUGCCGGUGACAAACCGGAGGAAGGUGGGGAUGACGUCAAAUCAUCAUGCCCUUUAUGUCCCGGGCUACACACGUGCUACAAUGGCCGGUACAGCGAGAAGCUAAGCCGCGAGGUGGAGCAAAUCUUACAAAGCCGGUCUCAGUUCAGAUUGCAGGCUGCAACUCGCCUGCAUGAAGUCGGAAUCGCUAGUAAUCGUGAAUCAGCAUGUCACGGUGAAUGCGUUCCCGGGCCUUGUACACACCGCCCGU
This 505-nucleotide ribosomal RNA is filed under the name uncultured bacterium. Its description in RNAcentral is "bacterial SSU rRNA". It matches the Rfam family "Bacterial small subunit ribosomal RNA", at positions 903 to 1397 of the family's 1533-position model. The record is from RNAcentral.